This 381-nucleotide unclassified non-coding RNA is filed under the name Sterigmatobotrys uniseptata. Its description in RNAcentral is "sequence contains 18S rRNA gene, ITS1, 5.8S rRNA gene, ITS2 and 28S rRNA gene". The stretch from base 190 to 343 matches the Rfam family "5.8S ribosomal RNA". Lineage: Eukaryota; Fungi; Ascomycota; Sordariomycetes; Pleurotheciales; Pleurotheciaceae. The record is from RNAcentral.
GGGAUCAUUACAGGGUCUGACGACUGCCCAAACCACACCGUGCACUCUUUUUACUACAAUGCUUCGGCGGGUCGCUCGCUGGGGGAGCCCACCGGCCGCGGAAACGCGGUGGCCCGCCGAGGCAUGCCCCAAACCAUGAAAACAACUUUCUGAAUAUCAUCUACUCCGAACGGAGAAGAAAUAAGUCACAACUCAUAACAAUGGAUCUCUUGGUUCUGGCAUCGAUGAAGAACGCAGCGAAAUGCGAUAAAUAAUAUGAAUUGCAGAAUUCAGCGAAUCAUCGAGUUUUUGAACGCACAUUGCGCCCUCUGGUAUUCCGGAGGGCUUGUCCGACCGAGCGUCGCGUCACCGCUCAAGCCCCCCGGCUUGGUGUUGGGGACU